RNAcentral lists this ribosomal RNA (793 nucleotides) under uncultured bacterium. RNAcentral's name for it is "bacterial SSU rRNA". It matches the Rfam family "Bacterial small subunit ribosomal RNA", at positions 8 to 796 of the family's 1533-position model. The record is from RNAcentral.
AGAGUUUGAUCCUGGCUCAGAUUGAACGCUGGCGGAAUGCUUUACACAUGCAAGUCGAGCGGCAGCGCGGGGGCAACCCUGGCGGCGAGCGGCGAACGGGUGAGUAAUGUAUCGGAACGUACCCUGUCGUGGGGGAUAACACAGCGAAAGCUGUGCUAAUACCGCAUACGACCUGAGGGUGAAAGCGGGGGAUCGCAAGACCUCGCGCGAUAGGAGCGGCCGAUAUCGGAUUAGCUUGUUGGUGAGGUAAAGGCUCACCAAGGCGACGAUCCGUAGCUGGUCUGAGAGGACGACCAGCCACACUGGAACUGAGACACGGUCCAGACUCCUACGGGAGGCAGCAGUGGGGAAUUUUGGACAAUGGGGGCAACCCUGAUCCAGCCAUUCCGCGUGAGUGAAGAAGGCCUUCGGGUUGUAAAGCUCUUUCAGCAGGAACGAAACGGUGGCUACUAAUACUAGCUACUAAUGACGGUACCUGAAGAAGAAGCACCGGCUAACUACGUGCCAGCAGCCGCGGUAAUACGUAGGGUGCGAGCGUUAAUCGGAAUUACUGGGCGUAAAGCGUGCGCAGGCGGUUUGUUAAGAUAGGCGUGAAAUCCCCGGGCUCAACCUGGGAACUGCGUUUAUGACUGGCAGGCUAGAGUAUGGCAGAGGGGGGUGGAAUUCCACGUGUAGCAGUGAAAUGCGUAGAGAUGUGGAGGAACACCGAUGGCGAAGGCAGCCCCCUGGGCCAAUACUGACGCUCAUGCACGAAAGCGUGGGUAGCAAACAGGAUUAGAUACCCUGGUAGUCC